Molecule: long non-coding RNA, 364 nt
Organism: Hemibagrus wyckioides
Lineage: Eukaryota; Metazoa; Chordata; Actinopteri; Siluriformes; Bagridae
Exons: 3
Source: RefSeq, a predicted model, not a curated record
GUUGGACAGCAGAAACAGCAGGUUGAAGAAGCUCUAAUCAGGAACUGCAGAGCUACUAAUUAGGGGCCAGCUAUGCUACAGGGAUUUCCCAAAAGCCCUGCUAAACAUCUAACAGAGAGGCUUUAACCCACACACCAAGCCAGUGCACUUUACACGUAUUCUGGGAGCUGCUAAACAAAGCAAGUGAACCACCAAGCACUUUGUCGUACUAUAAUUUCACUAUAUUUCAAGACUCUACGUUGUUAUUUUCAAGGUGAUUGCAAGAAGAAGUACAAAAUUGGGGCCUGUAAAAAAAAAAAAAAGGUAAGAGAAAUUAAUCAAAACCAUAAUUCAUUCUGCUGUCAAAAUCUCCUCCUGCUGCUUU